GAGUUUGAUCCUGGCUCAGAACGAACGCUGGCGGCAGGCUUAACACAUGCAAGUCGAGCGAAACCCCUCGGUUUAGGUCGGCGGACGGGUAGGUUAACGACGUGGGAACGGUAACCUUUUCGUUCUACGGAAGUAAGCCUCCGGGAAACCGGGGGAACGGUAAUAACCGUACUGUGCCUUUCGGGGUAAAGGGAAUUUAUUCGGCGAAAGAAUCGGCCCGGCCGUCUGAUUAGUAUAGUUGGUUGGGGG
RNAcentral lists this ribosomal RNA (249 nucleotides) under uncultured Alphaproteobacteria bacterium. RNAcentral's name for it is "partial 16S ribosomal RNA". It matches the Rfam family "Bacterial small subunit ribosomal RNA", at positions 9 to 259 of the family's 1533-position model. Lineage: Bacteria; Pseudomonadati; Pseudomonadota; Alphaproteobacteria. The record is from RNAcentral.